UCCCUGGUGGCUCAGAUGGUAAAGAAUCUGCCUACAAUGCAGGAAACCCAGGUUCAAUUCCUGGGUUGGGAA
Molecule: transfer RNA, 72 nt
Filed under: Bos taurus (domestic cattle)
Lineage: Eukaryota; Metazoa; Chordata; Mammalia; Artiodactyla; Bovidae
Also listed under: 2 other names
Rfam family: tRNA
About the family: Transfer RNA (tRNA) molecules are approximately 80 nucleotides in length. Their secondary structure includes four short double-helical elements and three loops (D, anti-codon, and T loops).
Source: Rfam by way of RNAcentral